This is a long non-coding RNA of Gasterosteus aculeatus aculeatus (three-spined stickleback), 714 nucleotides long. The record is from Ensembl. Lineage: Eukaryota; Metazoa; Chordata; Actinopteri; Perciformes; Gasterosteidae.
GUUUUAAAGGAAGCAGCCAAGCACAACGAAACUUGAAUCCAAAUCCAAGCUGUGACCCUCAGGAUGAUGGACAGUCUGCGGUCAGAGUUCGGAGCAGGCUGGAACUUUGAGCGAUGCCACGAUGCCGCAUGACGACACCGCAGCCAUCUCCGCUCGCUCCCCGCCGGCGACUCAGAAGGCAGCUUUUCCAUUGCAGCGCGAGGAAAAGGAAAACCGUGGGCCCGUCGCCACAUUGGCCUCAGUUUAACUUAAACAUUGUCUCAACAUCCAUUUCUUUUUACCUGGCUGGAGGACAAACCAUGAGUAGAAAUGUUGCAGCUGACUCUACCCCAAAUGAGGCCAUUCUCAGUGUGGGUCGGCAAGAAAGAACAGGGUUCUUUAAGUCAGAUUUUACGGUGUUUGUGGCCCUUUUUUUUAAUAUCAUAUAUAGUGAAACUAUGGCGACAGGUAGGACAGAGAGAGACACGUCCAGCAACCGUCCUCAGAGGAAAAAAACACACACAGGCAGUUUUAUUAUUUAUGUUGUAAAGAGCUAAUAUGGGAAAUAAAACUUGUUACUUGUAUGAUAAAUAAUUAUCGUCAUAUAGCCUUUGUUGAGCUUGGUUGAAAAGCAAAGAUAAAGAGGUAAACAGCUAGCCGAACAAACCCCCCCAAGAAUAGAGUUUCCCUCAGUCCUGUGUUUAUGCUAAGCUAAGCUACGCUAAGCGUGGUAUC